GUGGUUCUUGAGUGAAGUAGAGGUAAGCGGAAUUCCUAGUGUAGCGGUGAAAUGUGUAGAUAUUAGGAGGAACAUCAGUGGUGAGGGGGGCUUACUGGGCUUUAACUGACGCUGAGGCUCGACAGCGUGGGGAGCAAACAGGAUUAGAUACCCUGGUAGUCCACGCCGUAAACGAUGAUUACUAGGUGUGGGGGGACUGACCCCUUCCGUGCCGCAGCAAACGCAAUAAGUAAUCCACCUGGGGAGUACGACCGCAAGGUUGAAACUCAAAGGAAUUGACGGGGGCCCGCACUAGCAGUGGAGUAUGUGGAUUAAUUCGAAGCAACGCGAAGAACCUUACCAGGUCUUGACAUCGUAUGCAUAGCUCAGAGAUGAGUGAAAUCUUUUGGGAGACAUAUAGACAGGUGGUGCAUGGUUGUCGUCAGCUCGUGUCGUGAGAUGUUGGGUUAAGUCCCGCAACGAGCGCAACCCUUACUGUUAGUUGCUACGCAAGAGCACUCUAGCAGGACUGCCGUUGACAAAACGGAGGAAGGUGGGGAUGACGUCAAAUCAUCAUGCCCCUUAUGACAUGGGCCUCACACGUACUACAAUGGUUGUCAACAGAGGGAUGCAAAGCCGCGAGGUGGAGCGAACCCCUAAAAGCAGUCUUAGUUCGGAUUGUAGGCUGCAACCCGCCUACAUGAAGUCGGAAUUGCUAGUAAUCGCAGAUCAGCAUGCUGCGGUGAAUACGUUCCCGGGCCUUGUACACACCGCCCGUCACGCCAUGGGAGUCGGUAACACCCGAAGCC
RNAcentral lists this ribosomal RNA (788 nucleotides) under Ruminococcus bicirculans (ex Wegman et al. 2014). RNAcentral's name for it is "bacterial SSU rRNA". It matches the Rfam family "Bacterial small subunit ribosomal RNA", at positions 635 to 1428 of the family's 1533-position model. The record is from RNAcentral. Lineage: Bacteria; Bacillati; Bacillota; Clostridia; Eubacteriales; Oscillospiraceae.